AGGAACCCAAUAAUACUGUCGAGUCGAGCGGACAGAUGGGAGCUUGCUCCCUGAUGUUAGCGGCGGACGGGUGAGUAACACGUGGGUAACCUGCCUGUAAGACUGGGAUAACUCCGGGAAACCGGGGCUAAUACCGGAUGGUUGUUUGAACCGCAUGGUUCAAACAUAAAAGGUGGCUUCGGCUACCACUUACAGAUGGACCCGCGGCGCAUUAGCUAGUUGGUGAGGUAACGGCUCACCAAGGCAACGAUGCGUAGCCGACCUGAGAGGGUGAUCGGCCACACUGGGACUGAGACACGGCCCAGACUCCUACGGGAGGCAGCAGUAGGGAAUCUUCCGCAAUGGACGAAAGUCUGACGGAGCAACGCCGCGUGAGUGAUGAAGGUUUUCGGAUCGUAAAGCUCUGUUGUUAGGGAAGAACAAGUACCGUUCGAAUAGGGCGGUACCUUGACGGUACCUAACCAGAAAGCCACGGCUAACUACGUGCCAGCAGCCGCGGUAAUACGUAGGUGGCAAGCGUUGUCCGGAAUUAUUGGGCGUAAAGGGCUCGCAGGCGGUUUCUUAAGUCUGAUGUGAAAGCCCCCGGCUCAACCGGGGAGGGUCAUUGGAAACUGGGGAACUUGAGUGCAGAAGAGGAGAGUGGAAUUCCACGUGUAGCGGUGAAAUGCGUAGAGAUGUGGAGGAACACCAGUGGCGAAAGGCGACUCUCUGGUCUGUAACUGACGCUGAGGAGCGAAAGCGUGGGGAGCGACAGAUUAGAUACCCUGGUAGUCCACGCCGUAAACGAUGAGUGCUAAGUGUUAGGGGGUUUCCGCCCCCUUUAGUGCUGCAGCCU
Molecule: ribosomal RNA, 835 nt
Filed under: Bacillus subtilis
Lineage: Bacteria; Bacillati; Bacillota; Bacilli; Caryophanales; Bacillaceae
Description: bacterial SSU rRNA
Rfam family: Bacterial small subunit ribosomal RNA
Source: RNAcentral